RNAcentral lists this ribosomal RNA (468 nucleotides) under uncultured bacterium. RNAcentral's name for it is "partial 16S ribosomal RNA". It matches the Rfam family "Bacterial small subunit ribosomal RNA", at positions 28 to 507 of the family's 1533-position model. The record is from RNAcentral.
GACGAACGCUGGCGGCGUGCUUAACACAUGCAAGUCGAACGGAAAGGCCCUGCUUUUGUGGGGUGCUCGAGUGGCGAACGGGUGAGUAACACGUGAGUAACCUGCCCUUGACUUUGGGAUAACUUCAGGAAACUGGGGCUAAUACCGGAUAGGAGCUCCUGCUGCAUGGUGGGGGUUGGAAAGUUUCGGCGGUUGGGGAUGGACUCGCGGCUUAUCAGCUUGUUGGUGGGGUAGUGGCUUACCAAGGCUUUGACGGGUAGCCGGCCUGAGAGGGUGACCGGCCACAUUGGGACUGAGAUACGGCCCAGACUCCUACGGGAGGCAGCAGUGGGGAUUAUUGCACAAUGGGCGGAAGCCUGAUGCAGCAACGCCGCGUGCGGGAUGACGGCCUUCGGGUUGUAACCCGCUUUCGCCUGUGACGAAGCGUGAGUGACGGUAAUGGGUAAAGAAGCACCGGCUAACUACGUG